UAUAUAUAAUCAUAUCUGCUAUCCCAAAAAAAAUGUGAAUAUAAACCAAGAAAACAGCAAAAUAGAGAUGUUAAAGCUUGUGCAAAUGAUGAUAGCUUCCUCCUCCUCAUCUUCUGUCUUCCUCGCAAAUCAAAUUAAAUUCCAACAUCGCAGAUUUUUCAUCAUCUCAUUAUCAACCACAACUAAUUUCCCAAAAUCUAAUCUAUCUACUUCCAAAACUCACCGUUUUAGACCGUUCCGAAUUAUGUCCACUACUAGGAGCGACUCAAAUUUAAGUGCUUCCUCUUCUUCAGAUUCUGCAAUUUCUUCGGGAAGUUUUCGUAAAGUCAAUUUCUGUCAGUGGUGUGGUGGCCCAACCAAGCAUGAGGUACCUGAUGGGGACGAGAAGAUGAGAUCAGUUUGCACCUCAUGUGGAAAAAUUGCCUAUCAGAAUCCUAAAAUGGUUGUGGGUUGCCUCAUUGAGCAUGAGAACAAGAUCUUACUUUGCAAGCGGAACAUUCAACCUUCUCAUGGUCGGUGGACUCUUCCUGCUGGUUUCAUGGAAAUGGGUGAGUCUGCUGCAGAAGGUGCUAUAAGGGAAACCCAAGAAGAAGCGGGUGCUGAAGUUGAGGUUCUGUCACCAUUUGCUCAAUUAGACAUUCCCCUUAUUGGUCAAACCUACAUUAUAUUUUUGGCCAAGCUGAAGAAGCCACACUUCUCACCUGGUCCCGAAUCGAUUGAGUGCCGACUUUUUGAACUUGAUGAAAUACCUUUUGAUUCUCUGGCUUUUUCAUCAAUGCUUGUUACUCUAAAACUGUACAUAGAAGAUAUGAAAGAUGGUAAACCCAAGUUCCACUAUGGUACUAUCAACAAAAGGAAUGCUGGACACUUACAUACUGGUGAAUAAUACCUGGAACCAGCCCUUCUGAUAUACAUGCCUUCUCUCUUGACUAUCAUCUACAGUCAUGAUAUUAAGUGUGACAGCAGGGUUUUGAUACCUUGGCUAAGUGAAGCUGGAAACAGCUCAAUGAUGCAUUUAACUGGACAAAUAUUUUUUCUCACACGGAGCCCUCGUGUCCUCUUUGUCUUGUGAUCCCUUUUUCUUCAUAGGGCAGUCUGCAGUUGGAAAUAUGAGCUAGAAAGAACAUAUGUCAACUUGUUCCAGACACAAUCAUGAUGAUUUCAUAGCAACAGAGGCUGAUGUUUGCUGCAGAUUGCCAUUUCUUUUGGAGAGAUUACCGGGCAGCAACUCUGACGUUCUGAUUGAUUGAUCGAUUUGGUGUGAAUCUUUAAAUUCUCUCAUCAAGGGAUUUCUCGAAGUUCUUUCUACUGUUUGUGAUUCUGGUAGAUGAAUAGAAUUUAGAUGGGUGUUCGUUGGGGAACACCAACUCAUUCUCAAUAUGAAUUCAUCUAUAGAAAUGAUACCACAAUCUUGUACUGUUGUACAUGUAAUAUAUAUUUGUCAUCAAUGUCGAGGAGAUUUUGGUGAUAUGAAUAUGUUAUCUAAGUAGAUUGGUACC
This is an RNA transcript of Beta vulgaris subsp. vulgaris (sugar beet), 1499 nucleotides long. It is a transcript of the gene named nudix hydrolase 23, chloroplastic, with no coding region annotated. NCBI's taxonomy places the organism in Eukaryota, Viridiplantae, Streptophyta, Magnoliopsida, Caryophyllales, Amaranthaceae. The transcript is spliced from 9 exons. The record is from RefSeq and is a predicted model, not a curated record.